GGCUCUUUCAGGGUCCGAGUUGUAAUUUGUAGAAGAUGCUUUGGGUGUAGCUCCGGUCUAAGUUCCUUGGAACAGGACGUCAUAGAGGGUGAGAAUCCCGUACGUGACUGGGUGCUUUCGCUCGUGUAAAGCUCUUUCGACGAGUCGAGUUGUUUGGGAAUGCAGCUCAAAAUGGGUGGUAAAUUUCAUCUAAAGCUAAAUAUUGGCCAGAGACCGAUAGCGCACAAGUAGAGUGAUCGAAAGAUGAAAAGCACUUUGGAAAGAGAGUUAAACAGUACGUGAAAUUGUUGAAAGGGAAGCGCUUGCAACCAGACUUGCAGGCGGUUGAUCAUCCGAGCUUCUGCCCGGUGCACUCGAUCGUCUUCAGGCCAGCAUCGGUUUUGGUGGGCGGAUAAAGGCCUUGGGAAUGUAGCUUCUUUCGGGGAGUGUUAUAGCCCUCGGUGCAAUGCGCCCUACCGGGACCGAGGACCGCGCUUCGGCUAGGAUGCUGGCGUAAUGGUUGUAAGCGACCCGUCUUGAAACACGGACCAAGGAGUCUAACAUCUAUGCGAGUGUUUGGGUGUCAAACCCAUACGCGUAAUGAAAGUGAACGGAGGUGAGAACCCUUAAGGGUGCAUCAUCGACCGAUCCUGAUGUCUUCGGAUGGAUUUGAGUAAGAGCAUAGCUGUUGGGACCCGAAAGAUGGUGAACUAUGCCUGAAUAGGGUGAAGCCAGAGGAAACUCUGGUGGAGGCUCGCAGCGGUUCUGACGUGCAAAUCGAUCGUCAAAUUUGGGUAUAGGGGCGAAAGACUA
RNAcentral lists this ribosomal RNA (792 nucleotides) under Tricladium procerum. RNAcentral describes it as "eukaryotic LSU rRNA". It matches the Rfam family "Eukaryotic large subunit ribosomal RNA", at positions 124 to 933 of the family's 3401-position model. Lineage: Eukaryota; Fungi; Ascomycota; Leotiomycetes; Helotiales; Tricladiaceae. The record is from RNAcentral.